AUUGAACGCUGGCGGCAUGCCUUACACAUGCAAGUCGAACGCGAAAGGGGGCAACCCUGAGUAGAGUGGCGCACGGGUGAGCAAUACAUCGGAACAUACCCAGUAGUGGGGGAUAACCAGUCGAAAGAUUGGCUAAUACCGCAUACGACCUACGGGUGAAAGCGGGGGACCGUAAGGCCUCGCGCUAUUGGAUUGGCCGAUGUCUGAUUAGCUAGUUGGUGAGGUAACGGCUCACCAAGGCGACGAUCAG
Molecule: ribosomal RNA, 250 nt
Filed under: uncultured bacterium
Lineage: Bacteria
Description: partial 16S ribosomal RNA
Rfam family: Bacterial small subunit ribosomal RNA
Source: RNAcentral